UAGGAGUGUGGCUCAGUGGUAGAGCAUGUGCUUAGUAUGCAUAAGGUCCUAGGUUUGAUCCCUAGCACUAUAA
Sciurus carolinensis (gray squirrel) is the source of this 73-nucleotide non-coding RNA. NCBI's taxonomy places the organism in Eukaryota, Metazoa, Chordata, Mammalia, Rodentia, Sciuridae. The record is from the annotation of a RefSeq genome assembly.